This 498-nucleotide ribosomal RNA is filed under the name Cardiodactylus maai. RNAcentral describes it as "partial large subunit ribosomal RNA". It matches the Rfam family "Bacterial large subunit ribosomal RNA", at positions 1832 to 2582 of the family's 2925-position model. Lineage: Eukaryota; Metazoa; Arthropoda; Insecta; Orthoptera; Gryllidae. The record is from RNAcentral.
CUUCUUGAGAUUUAUAGGAAGUUGGGCCUGUCCACUGAAAAAUAUAAUUUAAAGGGCCGCGGUAUUUUGACCGUGCAAAGGUAGCAUAAUCAUUAGUUUUUUAAUUGAGAACUGGAAUGAAUGGUUUGACGAAAUAAUUAGUGUCUCUAUUAUAAUUAAUUGAAUUUUACUUUUAAGUUAAAAGGCUUAAAUGUUAAUAAGGGACGAUAAGACCCUAUAGAUCUUUAUAAUAAUUUUAGUAUUGUUGUUUUAGUUGUUUAUUAUUAUAUAUAUUAUUAAUUUUAUUAUUUUAUUGGGGUGAUAUGAGAAUAUAAUAACUUCUUAAUUUUGAACUUUGAUUAUUGAAUUUUAGAUCCUAUAUUUAUGGAAAAAGAUUAAGAUACCUUAGGGAUAACAGCGUAAUUUUGUUGGAAAGUUCUUAUUGAUAAUGAAGAUUGCGACCUCGAUGUUGGAUUAAGAAUAUAUGUUGGUGUAGAUGCUAAUAAUAUUGGUCUGUUC